Molecule: ribosomal RNA, 216 nt
Filed under: uncultured bacterium
Lineage: Bacteria
Description: partial 16S ribosomal RNA
Rfam family: Bacterial small subunit ribosomal RNA
Source: RNAcentral
UGGGAACAUACCUUUUGGUUCGGAACAACACAGGGAAACUUGUGCUAAUACCGGAUAAGCCCUUACGGGGAAAGAUUUAUCGCCGAAAGAUUGGCCCGCGUCUGAUUAGCUAGUUGGUGGGGUAAUGGCCCACCAAGGCUACGAUCAGUAGCUGAUCUGAGAGGAUGAUCAGCCACACUGGGACUGAGACACGGCCCAGACUCCUACGGGAGGCAG